UGCAAAACACUAUGCAAAAAUUCUAUAUUUCAGUGCAUUAUUCGAGGAUGAAGCGCAGAAUGACGUCAACGAUGAAAUUUCAAGCGCUUGGCAGCCCAGACCAUGGUGCAAUCUGGUUGACGAAAAGGCUGUCCACGAUCUUCUUGUGUGGGAGGAAAGGAAGGAAAAAAAAUGGACGAGGAGCUCAGCAGGUCGAUAUUGCCAGAGCCAUGGCCAUCCAUUGGGCAACCCAACGGACGCAAGCGCAAGCAUCCCAUGGACAAUCCAAAAGAGCCUGCUAUCGCUGUCGGGAAUCUUCUUAGCUGGGAGGAAAAAUGGGACCAGCAAUACAAUACCACAAGUCGCAAUUUGUACAGAGACCAAUGAGGUUGUAUUGCUUGGCCUGGAGCUGCAAUCCACCGAAGAAAUAGCCUCUUCUGUAAGGGGUUUCGGAGAUCCCCUGGACUAGUCACAGGCACAGGCGCAGGAGAUUUCCCCACAGGUCAUCAGAAAGGAAGUCCCAGGUCACUGGUAUUGGAUGUACGAAAAAUAAUAAUCGCGCCCAUCCAUCCCUCCAAUAAUAUCUGAACCUGUAUAAAUAAAGGUAUACUCAUAUACUCGCG
Drosophila miranda is the source of this 602-nucleotide long non-coding RNA. RefSeq lists it as uncharacterized. Lineage: Eukaryota; Metazoa; Arthropoda; Insecta; Diptera; Drosophilidae. The record is from RefSeq and is a predicted model, not a curated record. The transcript has 3 exons.